Molecule: ribosomal RNA, 461 nt
Filed under: Triticum aestivum (bread wheat)
Lineage: Eukaryota; Viridiplantae; Streptophyta; Magnoliopsida; Poales; Poaceae
Description: partial small subunit ribosomal RNA
Source: RNAcentral
CGCGUGGCCGACCGCUGCUCUCCUUCGACCGCGGCCUGGGGUUUUCUUGCAAUGGUUUUCGGUGGCGGCUUCAAAUUUUUAGUGGGAGUGGGAUGUGGUGUCUAUGUAGCUCAGAACUACAACGUUCCAAAUGUCAAGAAGCUGUUCAACACGUAUGUUUUCCUGGCAAAGCACGUUGAGGAAACUUACCGUAAGCCGCCGAAGAAAGACGACGACUGAUUAUCAUACCCAUGGCGAAAAGAAGUAUAUACUCUGACAUUACAGAAACAUGAUCUGCGUGAAUAUUAAAGUUGUUAUGAUCUUUUCAAGAGCUGAGAACACCAGCUGUGAAGUUUGUCAUGGCAAGGUUUGUGGAUCUUUAUGAUAAAACCUUAGUGUUUUUUAACGUCCGAUUCAAAUAUUAUGGCACUGGUAGAAAUUUCAUAAUAAGUGGGUGUCUGGCAACUUACCAAAAGUGCCCC